UCUCAGCUGAUAACUUUACACAGCUUUGCCUCACUUGGAGGAACAACAACAAAUGUUGUAGAAUUCCAACCUUGGAAAUGGCUACGAUUCCAUCAGUAUGAGUCCACCACCACAUUCGCCAUGGGCCUUUCCAUCUGCUCUGCAGCUGAAACUUCCUACAGAUUUUGUUUUCCAUAAUCAAAACGACCAAUGUGCCCCCCUUUUAAAUAAACUCAACACGGGGAGGAAACGAAACUCUGGCCAAACACAAGAAUUGAUGACCAUACUGCCAAAAUUGAAGGACACAUCGUACCUUUCUGUUAUUAAUAAAGAAGCUAAAUUUGGAAAUGUU
Molecule: long non-coding RNA, 331 nt
Organism: Vombatus ursinus (common wombat)
Lineage: Eukaryota; Metazoa; Chordata; Mammalia; Diprotodontia; Vombatidae
Exons: 2
Source: RefSeq, a predicted model, not a curated record